GACGAACGCUGGCGGCGUGCUUAACACAUGCAAGUCGAACGGAAAGGCCCUGCUUUUGUGGUGUGCUCGAGUGGCGAACGGGUGAGUAACACGUGAGUAACCUGCCCUUGACUUUGUGAUAACUUCAGGAAACUGGGGCUAGUACCGGUUAGGAACUCCUGCUUCAUGGUGGGGGUUGGAAAGUUUCGGCGGUUGUGGAUGGACUCGCGGCUUAUCAGCUUGUUGGUGGGGUAGUGGCUUACCAAGGCUUUGACGGGUAGCCGGCCUGAGAGGGUGACCGGCAACAUUGGGACUGAGAUACGGGCCAGACUACUAAGGGAGGCAGGAGUGGGGAAUAUUGCACAAUGGGCGGAAGCCUGAUGCAGCAACGCCGCGUGCGGGAUGACGGACUUCGGGUUGUAAACCGCUUUCGCCUGUGACGAAGCGUGAGUGACGGUAAUGUGUAAAGAAGCACCGGCUAACUCCGUG
Molecule: ribosomal RNA, 468 nt
Filed under: uncultured bacterium
Lineage: Bacteria
Description: partial 16S ribosomal RNA
Rfam family: Bacterial small subunit ribosomal RNA
Source: RNAcentral